AGGUGCCGCCAUCAUAGUGUUCCGUGGAUGACGUGUACCGCAUGGGCUUCAUCUGCCCACACUAGCUUGCGUUGUGAAAUUGCGUGCAUGCUCCUUUGAACACUUGGGCAUUCGCUAUUGUCCGAAUUUUGGUCCAAUCAGCAAGACAAAUAAACAAAUAUAAAUUACAUUGAAUGAAGUGAAGACCAAAUUGCAAUUCAGUCUUCGUUCAGUCUAAAAAUAGAAGUGUCAGGGAGCCACUUCCUAAAUCCUCCCCAUCAAUAUGACCCACAUCUUAGAAAUUGGGGCAUUUCCAUAAACAGUGAGCAGUCAGUGGCAGCUCACUGUUGUGUUAAAAAAAAAAUAAAAAAAAAUCCAAUAAAGGAAUAACUUACAUAUGCCCCAUGCUGACCUCCCUUAUUUAC
Pelobates cultripes (western spadefoot toad) is the source of this 404-nucleotide non-coding RNA. The record is from the annotation of a GenBank genome assembly. NCBI's taxonomy places the organism in Eukaryota, Metazoa, Chordata, Amphibia, Anura, Pelobatidae.